GUUCGUUAGUCGAAAAUACUGAAUAAUUAAACAAACCAAAUGGCAUCACUGGUGGUUCUUUUUUCCACUCCGCUAUACUGUCAUCUCAAACAAAAACAAAUGGAUCAUACAACUGCUAUGAAUACAUUCGACUCGUUUGCUUCCAUCAAUCGGUAAGUGAGAAAGAUGAUUUCUCCCAUCACCACAGUGCGGAUUUCCACUUCUAUCACAGCAGCCAACAACAUCCGUUUUCCUGCAGCAGUAACCUCCAACCCCUGUUGGCAAUGCCGGGGGACAGCAUUAACAGCAGCAGCAGAAUUUGACUGAUUCCGUUGUAUAGUAGAAUGAAAACAGGCGAGGUAAGCGAACGUAAUCGCAUGAUAUUUUAAUGUUCGCAUUUUUAUCCGGAUCAUACAACUGCUAUGAAUACAUCCGACUCAAUCAAUCGGCGAGUGAGAAAGAUGAUUUCCCUCAUCAUUACAUUGCUUAUUUCUACUUCUGUCACACCAGCCAACAGCAUCAGCUUUCCCGCAGCAGUAUCCUUUAAGACCAGGGUGCUAUUCCGGGGAACAGCAUCAACAGCAACAGUAUCAGGACCUGGCCAUCGAUAGUAUUUCGAGCAAUUUUCCCCAUCGGAGAUCCCGUGCUUCACGCACAUUGCAGAAUCCUCCUCAGCCACAUAUCUGUGUCAUCAAGGGCAAGGAGGUAUUCAUCAAUGUACUCAGUCGGAUUUGAAUCGUCAAUCCAGACAACCCGGAUGCACCGAUUCCAUUAUAUACAUUAUUAUUUUUAUUAUACAUGGAUUUUUAUUAUUUUUUUCAAUAAAAUGAUUAAAAUCGAUCAAUGUUUUUCCUUUUCAUGUUUCAUAACAAACCAAUACAAACAAGAGACGAUCAGUGUUGGAAGCAGCGUUACAUGCAGGUCGACGCCUUGCAUAUGUUGGCAAAAAAGUGGCGUCAAGUUGUUCGAUGAAUGCAUAUGAAAGGUCGAUAAAUCGAUUGCAAGGUGGCAGCAUUUGAGGUCGAUUGUUGACAUUUCAUCGACCCGAUCUUGGCAGGCAAAACGGA
Toxorhynchites rutilus septentrionalis is the source of this 1046-nucleotide long non-coding RNA. RefSeq lists it as uncharacterized. NCBI's taxonomy places the organism in Eukaryota, Metazoa, Arthropoda, Insecta, Diptera, Culicidae. The record is from RefSeq and is a predicted model, not a curated record. The transcript has 3 exons.